This 404-nucleotide ribosomal RNA is filed under the name uncultured Lachnospiraceae bacterium. RNAcentral's name for it is "bacterial SSU rRNA". It matches the Rfam family "Bacterial small subunit ribosomal RNA", at positions 355 to 776 of the family's 1533-position model. Lineage: Bacteria; Bacillati; Bacillota; Clostridia; Lachnospirales; Lachnospiraceae. The record is from RNAcentral.
UGGGGAAUAUUGCACAAUGGGGGAAACCCUGAUGCAGCGACGCCGCGUGAAGGAUGAAGUAUUUCGGUAUGUAAACUUCUAUCAGCAGGGAAGAAAAUGACGGUACCUGACUAAGAAGCCCCGGCUAACUACGUGCCAGCAGCCGCGGUAAUACGUAGGGGGCAAGCGUUAUCCGGAUUUACUGGGUGUAAAGGGAGCGUAGACGGCAUGGCAAGUCUGAAGUGAAAGCCCGGGGCUCAACCCCGGGACUGCUUUGGAAACUGUCAGGCUAGAGUGCUGGAGAGGUAAGUGGAAUUCCUAGUGUAGCGGUGAAAUGCGUAGAUAUUAGGAGGAACACCAGUGGCGAAGGCGGCUUACUGGACAGUGACUGACGUUGAGGCUCGAAAGCGUGGGGAGCAAACAGG